Salvelinus sp. IW2-2015 is the source of this 3115-nucleotide non-coding RNA. NCBI's taxonomy places the organism in Eukaryota, Metazoa, Chordata, Actinopteri, Salmoniformes, Salmonidae. The record is from RefSeq and is a predicted model, not a curated record.
UACACCUGUUGUAUUCGGCGCAUGUGACUAAUAAAAUGUUUUUUUAAUUUGAGGCCAUACAGUAACACAUGCAUGACAGCAGCACCCAAAACAUUUAAGACCCUGCCCCACAAAAUAACCCUAUUUCCUACCAACUCGUUCUAUAGUAAGCAUGACAGCUAAGAGUUUGACUCCACACCACAUGGCAAGGUUUGCCCACUGAGGUCCAGCAACCAGUCAUGAGUUGAUAGAAUGAAGUGGAAUUAACCAGUCAUGUGUAUAAUCAUCAGUCUUGAUCAUAUGGAAUAAUGGAUACAACAAGGAAUGGUGGCUAUAUCCAUAAAUUAUACAUGUCCACAUAUAGCUACGUUAGCUAGCGAAUCUUCUGAAGUUACUAGCUAACGUUAAUCUUGCAUUCGCAAACAAACAACCCCCUUUCUGUAAAUAUUAGAUUGCUAGCUAAACCAAGGACUUGUUCUGUUUAUAGGCGAAUUGCUCUGGAAGCCAAUACCGCAAAAUACGCCAUCUAAAUGUGAAUCGAUUCUCAAUUCUCAAACGUGAAUCGAUUCUAAUAUCUCUACUUUCAUAUCACAUCAAAAUAAUUGUACAAACUUAAAAUAUACACUUAAUGUACACUGUUUUAAUCGAUUUUAACACUGUUGCAGCCGACAGUAUUUUCCAACGACAACCCGUUUCCUUCUUCAGUUUACACACAGGUGUUGGGAGAUGCAGGUAACGUUAGUCCACUAGGUCUCCCGUGAACAAGCGCUGUACCAUGGACAUAUGGCUGUGUGGGAACCAUAAACCUGUGUGUGUCAAUUUAAUCUGUUGUUUAUUGAAAAUUAUUUAUCGCUGAUAUGAAAGUUAAGGUCCUUAUGCUUCAAAAACGGUACCGCAAGUGAUGCAUGUUAAUAAUAUCCGACCGAGCGUCGGGGCUCUUAAAACACUCCCCAUAGAAGACCCUUUCGCGUCGUCCAAUGAUUUAUAUGUAACGUUAAUAUAAAUUAGUAACGUUAUUGAUCAAAGGCCUGCUAGUUACAUUACCGGCAUCAACAAUUAGCUAUGUUCUACAUACCUCCAACUAAAAAGAACAGUCAAAUUAAAACAGACAAUACUCGUUACGGUUUGUUUUGCAAUGUGUGAUGAAUAUAUUGAAAGCUACACAUUUAGGGAAGCAAAAACUUUCAGCUCGCUAACUAAAGUACCUAAGUUAACGUUACCUAGCUAACGUUACGCGAUAGCAAGAUAAGCUACAAGUUAACGUUAGCUGUCAUACGUUCCUAAAUGUCACUUUGCCAGUGUGUAUCCUUCCUUAAACAUUAAUUUAGCUAUAUCAAUAACUACUUCCGUUUUUUUCGUUUUUUUUGUAUUCAUUUAAUGUCAGCAGUAUGGUUAGAUUUAAAAUCAAUUUUAAUUCGAUUAAUUGUAGAAAUAAACGGAGUUAAGCAUAGUUAUGAGUGUAGGUGUAGUCUAAUCCGGUGGUUUGUGGUAACUAGUGACAAACGCGAGAAGUCUCCUGUCGCACAUGCUACAGACCCGACAAGUGGAUUUCAGAACACUCGCCAUCUCAUCAGAAUGGUAAACCAGACAUUAAAACCAGGGGUAAACCAAUCAAUUACACAGCAGCAAUUGGUCGUUAGGGAAUUAUUGUGCACUAACAGAGAGGUUUAUAAACACAAAACUAAUAACAAAAGUAAGCAGUAAACAAAUACACAAUAUAUAUUGUGUGUAUAAAAGAUGGGCCUCAUCAAUGUCUUCUUGGGUAGAGGAAAAUAGAUUGAACUAAAUCAUGUAUUUGUUGAAAAUAUUUGACAAAGAAAUGUGUGGACAGUUUAGCAGAGUGAGUUUCCUCUGCAUUAUUCAUACAUAAUUGCUGAUGCAGGCAUCUGUGAUGAUGAAUGUUCUCACAUUGGCUUGUCUGCAGUCUGCACACUCCUCCAACAGUAGGAGCACUUGCAUAGAACUGGGCACCUUUCUUCAGCUCCUGUACAAGCUACCUACCACAACCCAUAUUGUCUAUGACCAAGAUCAUCUUCUGAAGCCAACCCAUGUUGUGACUCAUCUUCAGCGCGCUGUCCUAUGUGGCUGACAGCAUAGCUUCCUGCUGCUGCCCCUCAGGAAAGAUCAAUUCAGCUACAGGAUGACAAUACCAGCUCAGGGGUAAGUGUUUUGACCUGCCAAAAUGUGUAUGUCUAGUUCUCCUGUCGAAUCUAUGGGUGUGUGUAGGUACAGUAGCUGAGUAAAGCAUGUUCAACUUCUACCUGUUUUUCUAUUUUGCAGGGGAGGAUGUGUGGACAGUCUUCAACGGGGCACCAUCCAGUGAAAACCCUCCAGCCAAUAAGAUUCUCUCUUAGAUGGCUAUUUUAGAGAGGGACUAGGGGUAGGGUUUUAGUACUUUGAAAAUGCAUCCUUCCUUCAAGAUUUCACUGAUUAGUACAGAAUUAGAUAGUUCUGCAUAUGGCUAGCCGGUACUUUUCCUCUGUGCUUGUGAUAAUGAUGACUUGUCUGUAAACUCCUUCUUUGGGAGGUGGAUAUAUCUGACAACACCCAAGUACAGAAGGUAACCAGCAGAGUCGAGUGUGGCUGAACUGCAACCUAUUUUGCUUUCAUUAUGUUUUGUCAAAUCUAUGACAAACAUAUUGAACAAAGUUAUAUGUAAUUAAGAAAAUGUUACUUGAUGGAGCACAUUUCAGACUUGGUUGUAGCUUUAUUAUCUAACAAAUCUCUAUUUUCUGGGACAGGACCAUUUACCCUGGUAAAAAAGAGCUUUACAGGUUUCUUAACCCAACCUUACAACCACUGCUAAAUGUCAGCGCUAAAGCCAGAGCUAUUACAGACGUCACAGAACUAUAAAAAGUCAAGGCCUAUAAUCAUGAUACUCUAUUUAGAAAACUAUAGAAUAGUAAAUAAUGCCCAUAAACCAAAAACACAAUCAACAUAUUUUAUAUUACCAUUCUUUCAUCUAACAUUAGACAAACCCUUCAAAGCGAAUUUGAUACGCUUUACAAAAGUGUCUACUAGCUCCAAGACUCCCACCUUUGGUGAGAAUUAGUGGUUGCUGCACACAAAGAAAAAAAACAAUAUGACGUAACAAUGUUAUGUAUAAAAAUAAACUGUAAAUUAAUGUAUGAAGAUA